Molecule: ribosomal RNA, 1522 nt
Filed under: Salmonella enterica
Lineage: Bacteria; Pseudomonadati; Pseudomonadota; Gammaproteobacteria; Enterobacterales; Enterobacteriaceae
Also listed under: 1 other name
Description: bacterial SSU rRNA
Rfam family: Bacterial small subunit ribosomal RNA
Source: RNAcentral
AGAGUUUGAUCAUGGCUCAGAUUGAACGCUGGCGGCAGGCCUAACACAUGCAAGUCGAACGGUAACAGGAAGCAGCUUGCUGCUUCGCUGACGAGUGGCGGACGGGUGAGUAAUGUCUGGGAAACUGCCUGAUGGAGGGGGAUAACUACUGGAAACGGUGGCUAAUACCGCAUAACGUCGCAAGACCAAAGAGGGGGACCUUCGGGCCUCUUGCCAUCAGAUGUGCCCAGAUGGGAUUAGCUUGUUGGUGAGGUAACGGCUCACCAAGGCGACGAUCCCUAGCUGGUCUGAGAGGAUGACCAGCCACACUGGAACUGAGACACGGUCCAGACUCCUACGGGAGGCAGCAGUGGGGAAUAUUGCACAAUGGGCGCAAGCCUGAUGCAGCCAUGCCGCGUGUAUGAAGAAGGCCUUCGGGUUGUAAAGUACUUUCAGCGGGGAGGAAGGUGUUGUGGUUAAUAACCGCAGCAAUUGACGUUACCCGCAGAAGAAGCACCGGCUAACUCCGUGCCAGCAGCCGCGGUAAUACGGAGGGUGCAAGCGUUAAUCGGAAUUACUGGGCGUAAAGCGCACGCAGGCGGUCUGUCAAGUCGGAUGUGAAAUCCCCGGGCUCAACCUGGGAACUGCAUUCGAAACUGGCAGGCUUGAGUCUUGUAGAGGGGGGUAGAAUUCCAGGUGUAGCGGUGAAAUGCGUAGAGAUCUGGAGGAAUACCGGUGGCGAAGGCGGCCCCCUGGACAAAGACUGACGCUCAGGUGCGAAAGCGUGGGGAGCAAACAGGAUUAGAUACCCUGGUAGUCCACGCCGUAAACGAUGUCUACUUGGAGGUUGUGCCCUUGAGGCGUGGCUUCCGGAGCUAACGCGUUAAGUAGACCGCCUGGGGAGUACGGCCGCAAGGUUAAAACUCAAAUGAAUUGACGGGGGCCCGCACAAGCGGUGGAGCAUGUGGUUUAAUUCGAUGCAACGCGAAGAACCUUACCUGGUCUUGACAUCCACGGAAGAAUUCAGAGAUGGAUUUGUGCCUUCGGGAACCGUGAGACAGGUGCUGCAUGGCUGUCGUCAGCUCGUGUUGUGAAAUGUUGGGUUAAGUCCCGCAACGAGCGCAACCCUUAUCCUUUGUUGCCAGCGGUCCGGCCGGGAACUCAAAGGAGACUGCCAGUGAUAAACUGGAGGAAGGUGGGGAUGACGUCAAGUCAUCAUGGCCCUUACGACCAGGGCUACACACGUGCUACAAUGGCGCAUACAAAGAGAAGCGACCUCGCGAGAGCAAGCGGACCUCAUAAAGUGCGUCGUAGUCCGGAUUGGAGUCUGCAACUCGACUCCAUGAAGUCGGAAUCGCUAGUAAUCGUGGAUCAGAAUGCCACGGUGAAUACGUUCCCGGGCCUUGUACACACCGCCCGUCACACCAUGGGAGUGGGUUGCAAAAGAAGUAGGUAGCUUAACCUUCGGGAGGGCGCUUACCACUUUGUGAUUCAUGACUGGGGUGAAGUCGUAACAAGGUAACCGUAGGGGAACCUGCGGUUG